This 95-nucleotide unclassified non-coding RNA is filed under the name Serratia sp. Tan611. Its description in RNAcentral is "SgrS". It matches the Rfam family "SgrS RNA", at positions 134 to 232 of the family's 232-position model. From Rfam's summary of the family: In sugar transport-related sRNA (SgrS) is induced under conditions of glucose phosphate stress in E.coli. This small RNA acts to negatively regulate the translation and stability of the ptsG mRNA, which encodes the major glucose transporter in E. coli. Lineage: Bacteria; Pseudomonadati; Pseudomonadota; Gammaproteobacteria; Enterobacterales; Yersiniaceae. The record is from RNAcentral.
GGUUUUCAGGCGACGCCUGAAAACCUGGGGAGACCAAGUGUUUCUGAGUAAUGGUGCUUUUCACCAGCCAGUGGGGCGACCCACUGGCAUUUUUA